AUGCGCUCUAGUGAGGAGGUGGUCGAUGGUGCAGCAUCAUCCACACGCCGUUCGCACGACCCUCCUGUGCGCGCGAGCGUGGCACUCCCGCUUCCACCACCACCAACUAGGCCAGACAUGGCGUCCUCUUCUUCUAUGGCAACGGAUCACCAUGGUACUGACGCUGCGCGCGCUGACAACGGCAAGGUCAAGGCGCUGCGUGACUACCGACGCGCCCGUGGCCUAUGCUUCAAGUGCGGCGAGCGCUGGGGCCACGACCAUGUCUGUCCAGCAUCAGUUCAGCUACACGUCAUCGAGGAAAUGCUUGAGCUCUUCGGCGUCGACUCGUUGCCUCCUCCAAGCGAGGGUGCAGGGCCGAGCAACACGGUGAUGGCCAUUUCACGAUCGGCUCUCGACGGCACUGUCUCGUCAAAAGCUUUCCAGCUGCUGGCAACCAUUCAAGGGCACGAGGUUCUGCUGCUGGUGGAUAGCGGUAGCUCCACCUCAUUCAUCAGCCAGGCAUUGGCGCAGCAACUGUCAGGAGUGGUACCUCUGCAGCAACACUGCCGUGUCCGUGUGACAGACGGCGGUGAGCUCACUUGUUCUGCAGUUUUGCCGGCCUGCAAGUGGGGAUCUCAAGGGCAAGAAUUUGUCACCGACAUGAAGAUCCUCCCAUUGGGCACCUAUGACGCCAUUCUUGGUAUGGAUUGGCUAGAGAUGCAUAGCCCAAUGACCGUUGAUUGGAAGAACAAGGUCAUUCAAAUACCAACUCCUCUGGGUUUAGCUCGGCUGUUCGGCCAUGAGGCGAACACCACUGAUUGUCAUCUGAUUAGCAGUCUCCAUCUUCAGAACAUGUGUCGUCAAGGAUCGCUGUUGCAUAUGGUCCUUCUAUACCCAAUAUCAGAGGACGGCCCCACUACGCCCAAUACACCACCAGAUUUGCAUUGCAUUUUGGAUGAGUUCAAGGAUGUAUUUGGAGAACCUGAGGGGCUGCCGCCAUGUCGUGCUUGUGACCAUAAGAUUCCUCUAAUGUCAGGUGCUCAACCAGUGAACAUACGACCGUACAGGCACAAACCAGAGCUCAAAUCAGAGAUUGAGAGACAAAUCGAAGAACUGUUGAAUUCGGGAGUGAUACAACGCAGCACCAGUAGUUUUUCUUCUCCCGUCAUCUUAGUCAAAAAGAAGGACGACACCUGGCGCCUAUGCAUCGAUUACAGGCAUCUUAACGCAAUGACGUGUGUCAGCAAGUUCCCUGUGCCCAUCAUUGAAGAGUUAUUGGAUGAGCUGCAUGGAGCAGCCUGGUUCUUCAAGCUCGAUCUCAGGGCGGGGUAUCAUCAGAUACGGCUUGCGGAGUGUGAAGAAUACAAGACAGCCUUCCAGACGCACACGUGCCACUAUGAGUUCAAGGUUUUAUCGUUUGGACUCGCAGGGGGCCACCUACAUUCAUAG
This 1428-nucleotide ribosomal RNA is filed under the name Triticum aestivum (bread wheat). RNAcentral describes it as "partial small subunit ribosomal RNA". The record is from RNAcentral. Lineage: Eukaryota; Viridiplantae; Streptophyta; Magnoliopsida; Poales; Poaceae.